UAAGCAGACUUGACAGGAUCACUAGGG
Molecule: non-coding RNA, 27 nt
Filed under: Mus musculus (house mouse)
Lineage: Eukaryota; Metazoa; Chordata; Mammalia; Rodentia; Muridae
Source: RNAcentral